This 322-nucleotide ribosomal RNA is filed under the name uncultured eukaryote. RNAcentral's name for it is "partial 18S ribosomal RNA". It matches the Rfam family "Eukaryotic small subunit ribosomal RNA", at positions 1470 to 1796 of the family's 1831-position model. The record is from RNAcentral.
CCCUUAGAUGUUCUGGGCCGCACGCGUGCUACACUGAGUGGAUCAGCGGGUCAGGUUACGCGAGAGCGUUUCCUAAUCUUCAAAUCCGCUCGUGAUGGGGAUUGACGGUUGCAAUUUUCCGUCAUGAACGAGGAAUACCUUGUAAGCGCGGGUCAUCAUCCCGCGCUGAAUACGUCCCUGCCCUUUGUACACACCGCCUGUCGCUCCUACCGAUUGAGUGGUCCGGUGAGGCUUUGGGAUCUAAGCGAAAAGAGCGUUUCGCUCCUUUUGCUGGGAGAACUCAGUCGAACCUUAUCAUUUAGAGGAAGGAGAAGUCGUAACA